Molecule: ribosomal RNA, 1152 nt
Filed under: Triticum aestivum (bread wheat)
Lineage: Eukaryota; Viridiplantae; Streptophyta; Magnoliopsida; Poales; Poaceae
Description: partial small subunit ribosomal RNA
Source: RNAcentral
AUGCGAACCGACUUCACCCUGGCCGAUCUUGAGCGCCUGAGCUCCCACCUGUUUGCCUUGCAUUGGCUCCCUUCUAGUGGGAUCGCCGGGCACUCUGGUGGCAUCCUAUUAGGUGUCAAGGAUGCCACCUUUGAGGUUGGGAGCAUGGAUAGGGGUGAGUUCUUUGUGAGCAUGGAAGUCUUCGAGCGCGCGCUGAACUUUAAGUGGGAGAUCAUUAUAGUCUAUGGCCCCGCCGACCACAGUCGCUCGGUGUCCUUCCUCGACGAGCUCUCGAGGAAGGUAUCCGCGGCCCGCUUCCCGGUCGUCGUCGGUGGUGAUUUCAACCUUCUCCGCUCUGCGGAGGACAAGAAUAACGGCUUAGUUAACUUCCCGCGCAUGCAGUUGUUCAACGAUUGUAUUGCGGACCUCGGGUUGCGGGAAUUAGAUAGGAUUGGUGCUAGGUUCACCUGGACCAACCGCCAGGCCGACCCAACGCUCUCUGUGCUGGAUCGGGUCUUGGUUUCUCCUGAGUGGGAGUUGAGGUGCCCCCUUGCCUCCCUCUGCGCCAUCACCCGUAUUGGCUCGGACCACGUUCCCCUUCUUCUAUCCUCUCUGGAUGAACGCCCUCCCUCUGCCCCCAGAUUUCGCUUCGAGAUGUUCUGGCUUAACCAGAACGGUUUCGUUGAGGCUGUGCGUGGCCGCUGGCUGGAAGCCCGCCUUGCAUCUCACCGAUCCAUCUCGGCGGUGGAUGACUGGCACUUCUGCGCCAAGCGCGCCAGUCAGUUCAUGAAGGGCUGGGGCGCGAAUCUCGGAAGGGACCUCCGUCUCCGCAAAAAGGCCCUCCUUGACUCCAUUCAGACCCUGGAUCUUCGGGCCGACUCGGUGGGCCUCUCUCCUGACGAGUGGAUGCAGCGUUAUGACCUUGAAGACCAGCUUAUGGUCAUAUACACCGACGAGGAGGCGUAUUGGCGCCUUCGAGGUACCCAAAAGUGGGUUCUCCAGGGUGACGCCAACACCGCCUACUUCCAGGCAAUCGCCAAUGGCCGGCGGCGACGUAACACUAUUCCCCUUCUGUGGGAUGGCGCGACGCUCCUCCAGCGGCCCGCUGACAUCCGUGCCCAUGUUGACGGCUUCUAUCGAGCCCUGUUUGCAGCCCCCCUAGGGGGGGCUUAG